Molecule: long non-coding RNA, 2838 nt
Organism: Aethalodelphis obliquidens (Pacific white-sided dolphin)
Lineage: Eukaryota; Metazoa; Chordata; Mammalia; Artiodactyla; Delphinidae
Exons: 3
Source: RefSeq, a predicted model, not a curated record
UGCAACUAGAGAAAGCCCGCACGCAGCAACGAAGACCCAGUGCAGCCAAAAAUAAAUAAAUAAAAUAAAUAAUUUUUUUUAAAAAAUCCUCAGGUUCAGCAUCCCCAUCACACUCACCUCCCAGUUGGGUCUCUUUGCUUCAGAGAGAGAGAGAGCAGAGUGAGAGAGCCUAACGGGGCCAAGGAGCAAAGGCUCGAACGUUUGGGAAAGACAGACAGUGGGGCUUCCCGCUGGCCCCCAAAGAGCUGAAGCACCCAGCACCCUGUCUUCUGCUUGCUCACCCAGGCUCACCCGGAAUUCAUAGCCAAUAACAGACUGGGCUCGCCCUCUGCCCAGUGCUGGGGUGGGGGGCGGGGCUUGGCUGGAUACCUAUGAAGUCUCCUACCUUGGAAUGUGCCCUCACCCCCUCCGCGGUGUAAAUUCCCAAUCUGUCAGAGUCUACAUCUCCAGCUCGGGCCCAGGGUCGGGAGAGGAGGGGGAGCCAGCAGCUGUGGGAACAUCUGGUCCAGCACGGGGAGCAGAGGAGAACAGAACAGGGUCAGCGCAGGGCUGACGGGAGGGGAGACAAAACCAAGUGGCAGGCGGGCACCAAAAUGACGCUUACGAGCAACGCAACACUGCAGACAGUGGCUGGCGGGAAGGUGCUCGCUGCACGGCGGUCAGAAGAGCUGGGUCUGUCCCGCCUUAGAUAGAAAUUCACCGAGAGGCUCCCUGAUGCUCGCUCAGCCUCCAUGUCCCCGGCUGUGAAGGGAAGGGGGCUGCACGGUCUCUAAGGUCUCUUCCAGUUGUUUGUUCGUUUUGUUUCGUCUUGUUUUUAAAUAAAGGAAGGCCUCCAAGUACUGUCCUCAAGAAAACUUGACAGUGACACAUGAUCGAGCACCUACUGUGUGCUGGGCACUUUCCUAGGGACUGGCUGCGUCCUGGAAAAGAAGAUGGGGGCCUCUGCUCCUGGGGUGGGUGAUGUUGCAGGUUAUAUUUAACUCUUACCAUCAGGCUGUCCCCAUCUUACAGACACGGAAACAGACUCAGAGUGAUGACUGCCCAAGGUCACCUGGCCAGAGUCAGGGGCCAGACUCCAGGCACGUUUUCUGGCCCCAAGGGGGCGCUCUUUCCACCCCACCCCGGUCACUUGCCAUCUGUGCGUGUUACCCCUCCGAGGCUUGGAGGGCUCAGCCAGGCAGGGAGGUAAUGUGAACACACAUCACCCCCAGGCUCAGACCGAGGCCACGUCAUUAGGGAUUUGGUUAAUGUCCCAACAAACCGGGGAGAGGGUCCAGGUCUGGAAUGCAGAGGCCAUGAUGCCUCACCAGUGCUCCCUCCAGAACAACUGGCUGCCUCUGCCCUAAUAAGGCCACAAGGCAUUCGGAAGAGCAGGACUGAUUCAUCCCUUUUCUGAAUCCAAAUCCGGAGACGCUGUGAUUCCCUGGAUCUCUCAGCUCACAAACAUCACUGGACCCCCAGGAACACAGUGAUGAGGGAGACAGACAAGUUCCCUGUGCUGGGGAGGAGCGUCCGUCCUCAUGCAGCUAGACAGAUCCGGGGGAAAACCUAGACAGUGCUGCAUACCCAGGAGAAAAUAAGGCAGGUGUGUGACGGCAACGAGGAGGUGCUGGGGGCCAGGUGACUUGGAGCUGAGAGGCCCGGCACGAGCCUGGCGGGAAGAGCCAUCCCAGCAGAGGGGGAGCACGUGAGCCCCGGCCCGGCCCAGAGCAACUGGGUAUUCGGAGGAGGAACUGCCGGGCUUCACUUGUAUCCACAGACCGCUGCAAAGCCUCUGGAGGGUCUCAGGCAGGAGAGUGAGACCAGCAGCGUUCUUACAGCAUCACUCUGGCCGCCAGGAGGACAGGUGCAGGAAGGCACUGAGGACACGACUGUGCAGGACAAGAGAGAAGUCGUGGCAGCUGGGCACAGGGCAGUGGGCAGCGACGGAGGAGGGGAGAGUGGGGGGGAGCCCGCUUCUGGGUGCCUCCCUCACCCCAGUCUCACGCCCCCUACCCCCGCACUCACCCUCCUUAGUGACUCACAUCAGGGACUCAGGGACGCAGAUGCAGGAGAAAGGUGCAGGCAAGUGUAGAAAGCAAAGGAGAGCUUCGAUCAGGCAUCCUAUCCGACACCCCCGGCGUAGUGGGGUCUCCGGAGGCCACAGAGGCAGUGUCUGCGGCGCCCACCGAGGUGGCCGACAGCUCAGCAGGUGUCUGGGCAUGAACACGUGGAGGCAGGCCACGUGCAGAAGCUGGGGUUCAGCGCCUGGCAUCAGGGUGCAUGCGUGAGAUAAAUAUUAAACCCCCUCCAGAUCUGUAACACCUGAUUCUUCACAACAGCAAGAUCCUAAGACGGGGAAACCAGCCCCAGUCAUCCUCCCUCUUCGCCUCCACGCAGGGCACUGGGCUCCAGACCGAGUCAGGCCUGGUCCUGCUCCUGGAGAGCUCGCAGUCUGAUGGGGGAGGCGCACGGCUCAACAGUGACGUCAGGGAAGCAGGCGAUCCCAGGGAGGUGUCUGGGGGCCUAAAGGAAGGGGGAGCCGCCAUCUGGCCUUCUGCUCUUCCACUCAUCCCUCCAGGUAACAGUAACAAUAACAACCGAGACUGCCACUCGAGCGCCUCCUCUGGGCCAGGCACUGUUCCUGAUGGAAGAACCCAGCGCACCUCUGACUCCCCUAGAGGCUCCCAGGUGAUGCCAGUGUGCAGCCAGCCGCGAGCCCCUGGCCUGCAGCACAGCUUUUUAUAAGGAUUCAUGAGAGGACAGAUGCCGAGUGCCUGGCGUAUGGCUGGACCACAGUAAAUGGUGCCUUUCCUGACAGUACGCGGGCCUCUCACUGUUGCGGCCUCUCCCAUUGCG